This 253-nucleotide ribosomal RNA is filed under the name uncultured bacterium. Its description in RNAcentral is "partial 16S ribosomal RNA". It matches the Rfam family "Bacterial small subunit ribosomal RNA", at positions 524 to 776 of the family's 1533-position model. The record is from RNAcentral.
UACAGAGGGUGCGAGCGUUAAUCGGAAUUACUGGGCGUAAAGCGUGCGUAGACGGUUAUUUAAGUCGGAUGUGAAAGCCCCGGGCUCAACCUGGGAAUUGCAUUCGAGACUGAAUAGCUAGGGUACGGUAGAGGGAAGUGGAAUUUCCGGUGUAGCGGUGAAAUGCGUAGAUAUCGGAAGGAACAUCAGUGGCGAAAGCGACUUCCUGGGCCAGUACCGACGUUCAGGCACGAAAGCGUGGGGAGCAAACAGG